This 4081-nucleotide long non-coding RNA is filed under the name Rattus norvegicus (Norway rat). RNAcentral's name for it is "long non-coding RNA NONRATT023096". The record is from RNAcentral. Lineage: Eukaryota; Metazoa; Chordata; Mammalia; Rodentia; Muridae.
ACAAUGGAAGCCUCCGCGCCCCAUCCGGGGAGGUGGCCAUAAGAGAUAUUGUUCAGUUUGUGCCUUUCAGACAGUUCCAGAAUGCUCCAAAGGAAGCACUUGCGCAGUGUGUCUUGGCAGAGAUCCCCCAGCAGGUGGUGGGUUACUUCAACACAUACAGACUCCUUCCUCCCAAAAACCCAGCUGUGAAGUAGAAGGAGCCGGGAGCUACAGGACGUCCAAAGCCAUGUGGAGCAGCGCCAUCUCUUACACAGAAUGAUGUAUCGCCAUCUGCGCUUUUUACCCCCCAGGGUUUCUGAUGCAAACCCAGCUUUUUGUAUAUAUUCUAUCAGUUUAAAACAUACAUUUUAUACUUUCUGAAGAGGACAGUAGCAAGUCCAUUUCUGCCCAAUGAACUCAGUGGCUGUUAGUGAUUUAUAGAAAUUACAAGAGUGCAGUUUGGAAUUGAUUUUAAUUUGGGAAAAAUUGGUUUGUUGUAUAUUUUCUAUAAUGAAAAUGCCAUUCUUAAGUGUUGCCAGUAGAGUGAAUGAGGCAUUACAGGAUGAAGUGGUAUACAAGUUUUGCUCUUCUGUUUUAGUAAAUAUUUUGCAAGCCAGUGUCGGUACUGUGAUGGAGAGAGCUGCUUAGGUCAGUCACAGAGUUCAUACCUGUUACUCUAUACUCUGUCCCUUUCUGUGCUGCAGUGCUACAGUGUAUAAAACUGUUUUCAUGUAGUUGCUUAUGAAAACCAGUGGACUUAACUUCGUUUUGAAAAUGUACAAUCAACCUAUGGAGAGCUCCUUGUAGACAAGACAUUUUUCUUUGCCUUUUGAAAUCCCUUCACUGUGAACUCUUGCACACAGCGUGUCUUUGCUUUACUGAGCAAACAAGACACUCAAACUUCUGUGGACACACAAUGAUAGGUCAUCCCGGAGGCCACAUUAUUAGAUCAGCAUUGUCGACUUAACUGGAACUGUGUUCACUAAAGCUUUGAGGGCCAAACAUUUAAGAUGAAAAUUCAAACCAGUUGCAGACCAGGCAUGGUGACACAUCAUGUGAGCACUUGGAAGGAAGAGGCAUGAGGCCAGCACGAGCCAACCCACCUGCAUAGUUAAUUCCAGGUCUGACAGCUAUCCAGUGAGAGUGUGGUUCAGUACAACAAAGAAAAAUAAGUAAUUGAGAAAUACAUUUCUUCUAUCUAAUGGAAUAAUUGCAAAAGGUCAUUAGUAUUUUUUUCUUGCUAAGGUCCUGUGUAUUGAUUUUUAUAGAGUUAUUUAGAUUUUUUUGUCUUUUUAAAAAAUAGUAUUAUUUUUCUUUAAACCUCUAAUUCUAGUUAUUUAUUAAUCAAAAUUCCAUUUUUUCAUUUCAAUAAUGUACUAUUUCCAAAGUCCAGAAUGUAUUCUGUUAAGCACAAAACCUGAUAUAACAUUUAAAAAAAGAGAAGAAAGAACAACAUAUACAUACCCUGUUCUAGCUGCUAUAUUUACAUAGAGUGGACUUAGUAUUCUUAUUUUGAAGAAUUGAAUUAUUUUAACUUUAUCCUGUAGGACAUACUGUUCAGUGAGUACACAUUUUUGGAAUAGAUUUUGUAACAUUUGCCUGAGCAUCUGGAUGUCAAAUAUUUGCCUAUCUAUGCAGUGGCCAAUUAUUGUUAACAGUUUAACAAGUAGCAUUGUGUAUCCACCACAUAUCCUCAAGUAUAUAUCCACAGAGAGCAUCCAUGCCAGCGUUACCGAAUCCUUCUGCCACUGCCUGUCUUUGUUUCCUGCAGGCUUCUCAGGAACAGCUUCUGUCAGCAGAAGAUCCACUUGUCUUGUUUGCCUGGCUCAGUGAGCAGUGGCGCCUCCUUCCCACAUGGGUAAUUGGCAUCUGGAUUGUGCUGUUAACCUGAAACAGUGUACCUCUGUAUAGCAGAGUUUCUUAAAAUUUAUUUUCAUUUUGAGUCCUUUCACCCAAGAAAUUUUAUGUAACCCCAGUUUUUAUAGGUAUACAAAGUUAUACUUAAGAUAGGUAUACAAAUCAAACAUUGCCAGUAAACCAAAUUAUUUCAGGAGCCUGGAGAGAUGGCUCUGGGUUAAUAAUACAUUCACUCUUGCAGCUGGUUUCUGUUGCUUUCCAGCAUGUAUGUCAGGCAGCUCUACUACUUGACUGUAACUCUAGCUUCAGGGGGUCUGGUGGUCUCCUCUGCCCUCCACGAGGACCUACUUUUGUAUGUGUGUGUGUGCGUGUGCGUGUGCGCAUGUGUGUGUGUGUGUGUGUGUGUGUGUGUGUGUGUGUGUGCACGCACACACUCUCAGCUAUUUGGUAUUGUAGUACACAGAGCAUCUUUAAUGUACUGCAGAGUUGACUGAUAUUUUGAUUUUGUGAUUGCCAAUACUUUGAACCCCUUUUCACAUAAAUACAUAGUACAAAAUGCCAUCAGUGUUUAGAGGUAUUUCAGAAGCUGCAAAUUCUGUCCUCAUCCUAAGCCAAAAUAUAAAGUUUUUUUUAAUGAAGCUUAUGUUGACAGUUUUUAAAAUCAAACUUUCUAGCACAGUACAAUCUAGACAUAAAUUGAUUUGAUAUUGACUUGAUUCAGGCUGGCAGGAAAAUAUUGAUGUCUUUCUUUUCUGUAACUAAGCAUUUAUGCUAAAGCUGAGUAUGGACAAUAAAAUCACUGUAUACAUAAAACGCACAAAGUAACCUUGAGUCUGAGCUGAGGUGUUCAGGCAGUGUUCACUGUUGUUGGGUGACAUGGCAGCCGUGUAGUGCAGAAUGCACCUGCUGUCUAUUGACAGCCAAGGCUGCAGUGAAGUUGAGCGAUACAAGGUGGACAAGCCCUGCCAGAAACACCUCAGAGUCAUUACACAUUUCGUUUUGAAUCCAUUUUUGGCCAUCGUUCAUUAGAAAGCUUUACUGUUGUCUGGUUUUUCCAGUCAGUUACAUGACUGCCUAUGGGACCAGGGCCUGCAGUUGAAGAAUGUGGGCUUUGUGGGAUGACUCAGUAGUAACAACUCAGUUAUCAGUAGAGGUGACAACAUCUGAUCCCCUCCCCCCCCUUUUUUUCUCUCUUUUGAAACCAUUAUUAUUCCACGGUCUCAGUAUCAGUUCUCUGUGGUGGGAAGAUGUCACAGUGGCUUUCAGGACUUUCUUUUGCAUACGAGGGAGCCAGGUCAGAAAUGGCUUACAGGUUCUCUGUAGGUUACUCGGUAGGAGAGUGGCUUUUGACUCUGAAGCAAGGCUCACUAGGCUUGCUCAGCCCCUGAGAGUACGCAGGACUGAAGGCCCUUCUUCAUCCGGUAGCCAUCUUGCUUCUGCCACUUGGUCUUGAACAGUUUUCUAUUCUGGUUUACCAUCACUUUUUCCUGAUGAGAUAACUUUUCUUUAAAUGACUCGUCUUGAUCCAGUUUUAUAGAAACUGUGAUUCUGGCAAAUUAAAAUAAUCCAUAGCUGUCUGCAGUUUGAAAUAAAAGCAUUUCCAACUUCUAGAUUAUUAUGCUAUGAAAUUCUUCGUCUCGGCACUCACCUUCAUUCCGUAUUAUUUUAUAGUGGUUUGUACUCAAAUGUUUAUUUUUUCCUGUUGUGCCUCGAUUUCAACAAAUGCCGUUCACUUUUAAAGAACAUCUAAAAUAAAAAUCACAGAAGUGACCUUCAUGUCUCUGUAAUUUGUAUGCACAUGGCCAUCUUGUUCAUUGACACACAAUUUCUCUCAUGCAUAUAUUCAGGAAUGGUUUUUGUACUGGCCUAGUCACCUCAUCUUCUGUAGAAGAUUGAUUUGUCUGAGACCAUUAACCCUGUAAAUCACCUGCGGGAUAUUUACGAGUGUUCACUUUAGACAGCGCUUUGUUAGCUUUUCCAGAAUAGGCCCAGGGCCUCACUGAUGUUGGGCUGCCUUUUACGUGCCUUGCCCUUUUCAUUUCAUAUUAGAAAGCCAUCUUCAAGAGGGCUCUCUAGGCUGAUUUUCUUAGAGGUGAUGUAAGGUAAGUUAGCAGCUGGGUGGAAAUUGUGAGCCGUUGUCUUCUGGAGGACAGCACAGUAUGUGCAUAACUUACUAAAUACUUAAGUUUAUAUUAAAUACAUUGUCCGUGUGAGUUCCCUUUAAAUAAAGUUACUCUUGAUGUAA